Molecule: transfer RNA, 65 nt
Filed under: Zorka agnesae
Lineage: Eukaryota; Metazoa; Arthropoda; Insecta; Hemiptera; Cicadellidae
Description: tRNA-Asp
Source: RNAcentral
AAAGAUUUAGUUUAUUACAAAACAUUUAUUUGUCAAUUAAAAAAAAUUUAAUUAAAUAGUCUUUU